UGGGGAAUAUUGGACAAUGGGCGCAAGCCUGAUCCAGCCAUGCCGCGUGAGUGACGAAGGUCUUCGGAUUGUAAAACUCUUUUGGCGGGGACGAUAAUGACGGUACCCGCAGAAUAAGCCCCGGCUAACUUCGUGCCAGCAGCCGCGGUAAUACGAAGGGGGCUAGCGUUGUUCGGAAUCACUGGGCGUAAAGCGCACGUAGGCGGAUGUGCCAGUCAGGGGUGAAAUCCCGGAGCUCAACUCCGGAACUGCCUCUGAUACUGCACGUCUUGAGUUCGAGAGAGGUGGGUGGAAUUCCUAGUGUAGAGGUGAAAUUCGUAGAUAUCGGAAGGAACAUCGGUGGCGAAGGCGUCUACCUGGCCUAAUACUGACACUGAGGCACGAAAGCGUGGGGAGCAAACAGGAUUAGAUCCCCCGUAGUCCCUGAGCGGGCUGGCAAGGCGCAU
This 446-nucleotide ribosomal RNA is filed under the name uncultured bacterium. Its description in RNAcentral is "bacterial SSU rRNA". It matches the Rfam family "Bacterial small subunit ribosomal RNA", at positions 355 to 825 of the family's 1533-position model. The record is from RNAcentral.